Molecule: transfer RNA, 72 nt
Filed under: Stegodyphus mimosarum
Lineage: Eukaryota; Metazoa; Arthropoda; Arachnida; Araneae; Eresidae
Rfam family: tRNA
About the family: Transfer RNA (tRNA) molecules are approximately 80 nucleotides in length. Their secondary structure includes four short double-helical elements and three loops (D, anti-codon, and T loops).
Source: Rfam by way of RNAcentral
GCCUUCGUGGUGUAAUGGUCAACACACUCGGCGCAUAUUCGAGAAGUCCGAGUUCGAGUCCCAGAGAGGGCA